AGUUCAACUUUAAAGGUAUCAAUUCCUUUACCAAAGAACUUCUUUUCUAAAAAGAAUGCCGAACAACUCUUGUUCUUCAACAAGGUAGAAGUAAUAUCUCCUUGUUUCUUUAGGAUAUCCUACGAAAUGAUACUUAUUGGAUCAAGAUUCAAGAUUAUCAAUCUGCAAAUGCUUGACAUAAAUCAGAUACCUCUAGACCUA
Molecule: long non-coding RNA, 201 nt
Filed under: Elaeis guineensis (African oil palm)
Lineage: Eukaryota; Viridiplantae; Streptophyta; Magnoliopsida; Arecales; Arecaceae
Description: long non-coding RNA (EGUI_LNC065567)
Source: RNAcentral